UCGAGAGUUUGAUCCUGGCUCAGGACGAACGCUGGCGGCGUGCUUAACACAUGCAAGUCGAACGGAAAGGCCCUGCUUGCAGGGUGCUCGAGUGGCGAACGGGUGAGUAACACGUGGGUGAUCUGCCCCUGACUUUGGGAUAAGCCUGGGAAACUGGGUCUAAUACCGGAUAUGACCAAGGAUUGCAUGGUUCUUGGUGGAAAGCUUUUGCGGUUGGGGAUGGGCCCGCGGCCUAUCAGCUUGUUGGUGGGGUAAUGGCCUACCAAGGCGACGACGGGUAGCCGACCUGAGAGGGUGAUCGGCCACACUGGGACUGAGACACGGCCCAGACUCCUACGGGAGGCAGCAGUGGGGAAUAUUGCACAAUGGGCGCAAGCCUGAUGCAGCGACGCCGCGUAAGGGAUGACGGCCUUCGGGUUGUAAACCUCUUUCAGCAGGGACGAAGCGCGAGUGACGGUACCUGCAGAAGAAGCACCGGCCAACUACGUGCCAGCAGCCGCGGUAAUACGUAGGGUGCGAGCGUUGUCCGGAAUUACUGGGCGUAAAGAGCUCGUAGGCGGUUUGUCGCGUCGUCUGUGAAAUUCUGCAGCUUAACUGCAGGCGUGCAGCGAUACGGGCAGACUUGAGUACUACAGGGGAGACUGGAAUUCCUGGUGUAGCGGUGAAAUGCGCAGAUAUCAGGAGGAACACCGGUGGCGAAGCGGGUCUCUGGG
This 713-nucleotide ribosomal RNA is filed under the name uncultured bacterium. RNAcentral's name for it is "bacterial SSU rRNA". It matches the Rfam family "Bacterial small subunit ribosomal RNA", at positions 1 to 733 of the family's 1533-position model. The record is from RNAcentral.